Long non-coding RNA from Papaver somniferum (opium poppy), 2090 nucleotides. RefSeq lists it as uncharacterized. NCBI's taxonomy places the organism in Eukaryota, Viridiplantae, Streptophyta, Magnoliopsida, Ranunculales, Papaveraceae. The record is from RefSeq and is a predicted model, not a curated record. The transcript has 4 exons.
AAACCCUUCAGCAGACCCUCUCUUCCCCAAGUCUCGUUUCUCUUUCUUCCUCUAGAUCUACAGUUUCUCAAUCUUUACGCUUCUGUUGAUCUCUCUUUCUUACUAUUUGUAUCUCAAUUUCUUACUUAGGUUUUGAUUUUGGUUCUGGCUUGUGUUGUUUUUCUGAAGCGAGGAAGAACACGCAAAACCCAGAAACUCCUCUUCAAAUAUCAUCAUCAAUGGCUGACGAUUAUCAAAUCUAGGUGAUAUGGGAUACGAGGAUGAUAUUCAUGUUUGAGCAAUCAUCAAUUUCAGGUGCACAUUUAAAAAUGCUUGUUUACUUUGUGAAAUUAUUUAUUGUGAUUUCAUAGUAUAUUUAUGGUCUGCGAUUGGGACUUCUGAUGUUGUGGAUGAUAACAUCUACAACUUCACAAAAGAAGGGUUUAAUUAACUGCAUCAUAUAUAAAGUUCUGCAUUAUGGUAUUUUUUUAUCUAUACAUUUGUCUGUGUUUGAUGUUCUUUUUUGAGGUGGGUUUAUCUUUUUUAAGUAACGGGUUUUCAUGAUUUUUGUACAAGGUCUACUGCUUACAGCCUUGGUAUUUUGUAAUCAACCACCAUCUUCUCAGUAUCAUCAUCAUGUUUAUGCAAAUGUUUCUAAUGUACCUAAGAACCUUUCUCAAACCUUACAUGACAAUACACAAAUUUAAGAUCCGCAACAGCAGGGUGGUGUUAUCUCUAGAGUACAGAGUAAUUUCAGAAGCUCUUCGCAGGGCUCGUAAUUUGUUCCUCAGCAGGUCAACAAACAUUUCCAGUUCGAUCCCUCUUAGACUCCUCAAAGAUGCUAUGGGGGUAGUUCAUCCAACCAAUGCUGCAGGACAGUUCCGUACACCAGGCUUUGAGAAACUGAAGCUUCCAGUCACCUCGUCCACUCAGGUUUGAGACUAGAUACUAUCAGACAUUUGACUGCAACCCUAAUCAAAAGUAAGCUGCACUUUAGGUUACUUCAUUUGGUCCCUUUAUUGCAUGACUUCAGUUCACAAUUUGUAUCUCUUUUAGAGUACCUAGUUUCAUGCUUUCUGUUUUAGUUAAGGUGGUCACAGAUUUUUUCGGCAACCUGCAGCUUACUGUUUCCAACCCCAACUAUUGUCUGGGAUGAGGCCAAGUAUAUUGUGGUCCCUUGACUAUCCUUUGGAUCAUGGGUGGGGACUGGGGUUAUUUUUCUUUAGGGAUUAUUAAACUGUUUCGUAAUUAGUAUUAGUAUUAAUUUACACAAUAAAUGCACAACACGUCUGAUUCGUCAGUGAUUAUAUGAUUUGUUUGGUGACCAUGCUCUUCAUUAUGCACACGAAAUAGGUUAUAAGUUUCGACAUGAUUUGUUUCGUGAUGUUUUGUCUGAUAUAUGUCUUCGUGCUGGCAUGCACGCACUAAAAGAGGUGGAUUUGGGUUUCUUAUCAACUGGAGGUGAUGCUUUAAGGCCUGCAGAUAUUCUCAUUUAUAAUUGGGACAUGGGUCGUAAUGUGUGUUUAGAUGUUACUGGAAUUUCACAUUUUACAGGAGGUGGAGUUAAUACCUUCCUACCAGGGCAGGUUGUAUGUAAUGCGGUUUCAAGAAAGCGGAACAAGUAUCUUGACAAGUGUACUACACAUGGUUACGGUUUCGGUACUAUAACUUUCACGAUGUUGCGCGAGUUAGGUGAUGAGACCUUGAAUUUCUUGAAGAGAAUUGGUGACUACGUGCAGUACGGUGAUGUUGAGUGUUGGCUAGAUGUGUAGCUAUAUUAGACUAGUCCCAUGUGAUUUUUCAUAGAUUAGGUGUUAAUAUUCAAAGAGGUGUUGGCGCCCAAUUAGUUUCCAGGUUGCUGACAAGUUGUAUAUAAAAGUUCCUUAAUAUUGUUUAGUAUAUUCGUCUGAAGAGAAUGUGCUCUUUUCAAGGAUACCAUGAUAUGUGUGUCUCAUGUAUUGAGAGUGAAGACGAGGUCGCUUGGAUAUAAAAUCUUAGACGAAUGGAGACCUUAGUUUUUCAAUAAUCGAGUUGCUGAUCUGCCGUUCAGUAAAUACUUCAUUAUCUAUUGUAAAAACUUUUAUGAAUUAUUGCCAUGAACUCUUUGAUCA